AUUCCACAUUCCCAACAUGAGCUAACGCAUUGGAAAACUAUGCCAAUUCCUGUGCACACUCAACGAGCCUCUUUCUCUUCUCUAAAAUCCUUCACUCUGACCUAACCCCCUCUCUCUCCCUUUUCUCUCACACCCAUUCUCUUAACGCCACCAUCGACCUAUCCCACCCAAAUUGUGAGACCCUUUCUUCAAAUCCUCUUUAUCUUAUCAAAGAAGAGGUCUUCUUCUUCCAAAUCGCAAAUCCUUCUCUGGUUAUAACCUUCUCCGUCUUCGCCGUCAAAAAGAUUUCAUCUUCGCAUUCAGAGAUUUUGUUCGCGUGCGUGUGAUUUUCACCUGUUGGAGGUUUUGGAGAGUUUCAUCUUUGCUAUCAGAGAUUUUCUGAGUUUCAUCUUCGCUGCCGCUAAUGUCUUGGUAAUGUUGUUAGCAACUGUGAAAGGAAUCGAGAGCUUCUAGGCCGGCGGAUUCAGCUGUGAAUUUUCUCCUCCGGCCUCCUCUCUAGGUCUCUCCUUCCCGUUGCCUCUUCCGCUUCCCGUUCAUUCAACACCAACGCCAUGCGCCAGUACGAUUUCCUCGCACUCGCCGCGACGAUUUCCUCUCAGGUAGUUGUUAUCACUCUUUUACUCAAUUUCCCUAUUUCAUUUAAUUGAUUUGAUUAACUAAUACAAUACAUUCCUUUAUGCUUCACGUGGAAUUGGAGUCGGUGGAGUUCGACGAGGUUGGGAUGCGAAAGAGACAUAGGGUUCUUUGCUUUUUCGCUUGGAUAUACCUGGACCUGGCACUGAAUUUUUUAAACAGGUGUGGAGGCAGCUAGAGAAAGGUAGAGGUGGAUGUAAUGUUGUUCUAUGGUUUGUUCUUCUCCAAUGGAGGAGGUAAUCGCGGAGCAUCUGGAUUCUUCCAUGCCUCGAGAUAGCAUUACGGUGGCGAUUCAAUUUCAAACGUUGAGGUGUUGUUCGACCGAAGUGAAAGAGAGUAUAUGUGAGGGGAUGAGUUUGUGUCGUAUGCAAUUUACUAACCUAACCUGUCAUGCUUUUCACCCCCUUUGCCUCCACUUCAAUCCUUGACAGAAACUCCAACCUGAUACCUAUUCUCUUUGGGAAAACUCAAUGAAUCAAUUUUGUAGGUUUGAAUUAAUGUCAUUAUGCAGUAGAUGUUCACUAUUGCUUUAAAAUUCUCUGAACUUUAUGAGAUAUGUCACUUGAUAAGGGUGAACUUGGGCGUCAUCGUGAUGUGAUGGGAUAAAACUGCAAGUGCACGGUUCUAUCGAAGUAGUAAAAAGAUAGUAUCGUUUCGAUAGGGAGUUGUUUAAUUCAAUUAACUUUAGUUGAUGAUUAGAGAGAGUUCAAUUUGCAAAGUUGGGGUUUUUAAAGGUUGAGAAUAAUAGUAAAAGAGAGCCUUGGGAUCAUUGGUUCGUCAUGGUGACAAACCCUUCACAAACCAAACUAUUAAACCUAUAACAUUAUGUUAGACCUAACUUCUAAAGACAAGUUUCUCUUAUA
This is a long non-coding RNA of Medicago truncatula (barrel medic), 1496 nucleotides long. RefSeq lists it as uncharacterized. The transcript has 5 exons. The record is from RefSeq and is a predicted model, not a curated record. NCBI's taxonomy places the organism in Eukaryota, Viridiplantae, Streptophyta, Magnoliopsida, Fabales, Fabaceae.